This is a long non-coding RNA of Cornus florida, 1171 nucleotides long. RefSeq lists it as uncharacterized. NCBI's taxonomy places the organism in Eukaryota, Viridiplantae, Streptophyta, Magnoliopsida, Cornales, Cornaceae. The record is from RefSeq and is a predicted model, not a curated record. The transcript is spliced from 4 exons.
CUUGCUUCUCUUCAGCCUCCCCAAUCGUCUCCUUCUCUAUUCUAGGUCUCAACUCUAAAGUUGCCCCCCUCUCUCUCUGCAACUCCCCAAUCGCCCCAAUCUCUCUCUCUGCAACUCCCCAAUUGCCUCCAUCUCUAUUCUCGGUCUCAACUCUGAACUUGCGCCCCCCUCUCUCUAUACAAUUCCCUAAUCUUGAUGACUCGUGCCCUUCCCCCUCAACCACCCAUCUCUCUUAGCAACUCUACCUCCAAUCUCUCUGUCACUUCUCUCACUUUCUCUCUCUACGUACCUGUACCAUACUAGUCUUGAUUGAACAGAAUGGUGAAGCUUGUAUCGGCCCGAGAGAGUCGGAUAUACGGACCCCAGCUGGCUUAAAACAGGUUCGAGUACAUGAACGCCGGCCUAUACGUGUUCGCCACCAUUGUUAUUCUCUGUGGCUUCGCGGCUCAGCUCUCCAGCGAGCCGAAAUCGAGUUUGGUUCUUCUACUUAUAGGCUUAGCUCUCAUAAUCUUUGUGAAUUUUCACAAUCUCUUUGCUCAUCUCACCAGCAUUGAUUACCAGUUUCCGUUGAUGGAAUUCGACGUCUAGCUCGGCCUCGUCGAGUUCGCCGUCCCCGUGGUUUAGAUUACAGCUACACUUCUCUAUUUCUUGGGGAUUCUUUUUAUUUUCAUUCAGGUGUCACUCUUAAAGAUCCUCACAUUGAAGAUCUUAGUCAAGAAGUUAGAGGGUUCAUAUUCUCUAAAAUUCUGUUUUCCUCCAAGAUUUGGGGUGAUAUUGUACUCAACAAAGUUUAUCAAGAAGAUUGAAUCAAAUAGUGGAGAACUCCCAUUAGAUCCUGUGGAAAAUGACAGUGGGACAGAGGAAGAUGUGUCCAGUUUGGGUAAUUCAAAUCAAAUGGGCAAGAAGAGUUGUUAAAGUUGAAGUUGAAGAUGAAGAUGGGGUUGUGGCUGUGCUUUCAGCAUUUCCUUCGCCUUGGAUGGGUUCUUUUUGAAAAAAUUGUACUACAUUUGUCAAAAAUUCUUAAUUCUUUUUUUGUCACAUUUACUAGAUCUAGACAAUUUGGAUGGUAUUUUCAUAUUGGCCGGUUAACUUGUGGUUGUAUUAGUAAACAUUUUUUGAGUUUUGGUUGACAUUUACUAGCUUUAUCUAUUAGUAGACAAUUUCGAUGGUA